UAUUAAAUCUAUCUUCAUUUGAUUCUGCUCAUCGGUGUUAUUACUAUUAUUACGAUUUUCUAAAACUGUUAAUUCCAACCGUCUCAUCUCUAACUGAAACCGCUGCUGUUCCCUUUCCUGCUCCGCCCUCACUUUUUUUUCCAAUUCUUGCUCAGCCCUCAAUUUUUCUUUUCCCAAUUCUUGCUCAAGCCUAAAUUUUUCUUGUUCAAGCCUAUUUUUCUCAAGCUCUAAUUUCAAGUUAUAUUCUUGUACUAAUUUCCACUUUUCAAAAUCCUCUGAGAACUGUGGAACCUCUACUUCAGGUGGGCUUUUAGUCAUCUCUUCUAUUCUCGUUUCCUCCCCCUGGGGAUUCCCACUCUCUUCUCCAGAGCUUUCGUAUGGGUUUUCUCUCACUGGGUGCUUGGUCUUCUUGGGUGGCAUUAUGGGAGAGUCAGUAUUUUCACUAAUUAAUUAAAUUAGAGAAUUUUACUUUCAACACUGUUCCUCCCGGCUUGGCUUUUCAAGACCCUGGUCCCCAAAGUAUAGCUUUAGGUUUUUGCCUCUAACCUUUCAAGCUUACUUCCUCUGUGAAAUAGACUAAGCCUCCGCCAGAACAGUCUUUUGAGAUCUCUUGCUCUUAUUGUUAUCUCGGCCUCGCGGCAAUCUGGGGUUUAUCUUCAAUCACACCCUCCGGCCAGCUAAUCACUUCACCGAUUUACCCUUCCCCUCUCAAGAUGUAUUGCUUCCCCUCACAGGCUCAGACUUAUCGAAUCCCGCCGCUGCCGCCAAUUUUGUGGCGGUUGUACAGAGCCCCCAGUCGUCUCACGGACUAUUGACCCAUACACCACUAAUCCGCUGCCACCAACCAGGUCCUCCCUGGUAAAAUCACUUCAGUUUCAGUCAGCUUCUUAAUUAAGAAAGAAGAGUGUAUUUUAUUUCAGACACAAACAAACUUUUACGGCAUUCCAAACGUUGUUGCUCUUUAGUUUCUUAGUCUUAUUUUCCUCUCUCUAUCUCUUCUACCUCCUCCACACUCAAGAACCCGCUGCCCUAACUGUCUCUCUAUUACCAACUGCCUUUCCCAACCAGCCAACCCACUCAAACCAACCAACUACCCACCACACCAACUCCCAACUAACUCCUCCCAGAACUGCUUUUAUAGUCCCACUGACUCCACCCCCCUGGGUCCUGACUGUGCAACCUAUUUAACUAUUUCCCCUCCAGCACUCUCUCAUAUAUGUUAACGUCACAUACCUCCCCCCUUAAGAAGUUUCGAUUCAGGAGGGUUAUCAGAUAGAAGAUUUAAAGAGAGAAUAAUCACGUUAAAAGAACUGAUGCAAGAAAUAAGUUAACACCCACCGCCCCCUGCAAAAUAUACAGUGGUACCUCGGGUUACAUAUGCUUCAGGUUACAGACGCUUCAGGUUACAGACUCUGCUAACCCAGAAAUAGUACCUCGGGUUAAAAACUUUGCUUCAGGAUGAGAACAGAAAUCGUGCUCCGGCGGCGCAGCAGCAGCAGCAGGAGGCCCCAUUAGCUAAAGUGGUGCUUCAGGUUAAGAACAGUUUCAGGUUAAGAACAGACCUCCGGAACGAAUUAAGUACUUAACCCGAGGUACCACUGUAUAUCCUUUUAAAACUUAAAUCAUAUUACAUUAUAAGUGUUAUAAAUCCCGCUAGCAUUUUUAGAUAUCUACAGUGGUCUUUAAAAUACUCUAUAAUUUUCCCCACUCUUGUGUGUGCUUCUUUGUCAUCUAUCAUGUAGAGUGUGCAGCUUGAUUGUGUCUUCCUUGUGCAAUUUAAUCUGCCCAAAUCUUUGUGCCACAGCUCUCCUCUACUACUGACAACAGAAUCUUGUUCUGUGUACUCAGGCUUCCUAGCCACAUGGAACCUUUUUCUUGCACUGGCACGUAUAAUAAGUUACUUUGUGUUCCUACUCCUGCACACACACACACACACACACACACACACACACACAAUUGCCCUGAUUUUCUUUCUUCUUUAUGACACACAGCUGCAUUUCGUGGAAGAUGGACUGGUUAUUUGAAGCGGCUCUUCCUAAGCCCAGUUUUAUCAAGCGUAUUUAACACAUUUAAUGUUAUGCCCAAACUUUCUUUUUGCGCUUGCAUUCAGCAGCCUGUCUUAAAGACACAGAGCGCCCUCUCGCGGGCAGAGAAAUUAUAAACCUUUUUAGCUAAAUGUGUACAACUCUGUGUACAUACUUGGGCUGGCUUGGGGAGAGCGGGGCUCUGCGUUGCACACUGCAGCUGCCUCCCAACUGGUAUUCUUUGGUAAGUGAAGUUUUGCCGCAGACUGGAAAAUGUAGGUUGUGCAAUUAAAGUAGAUUUGGUGCUGUUGUGCAAGAAACCCACUUCCAGUAAACAAACAAACAAAC
Long non-coding RNA from Podarcis raffonei (Aeolian wall lizard), 2372 nucleotides. RefSeq lists it as uncharacterized. The transcript is spliced from 2 exons. Lineage: Eukaryota; Metazoa; Chordata; Lepidosauria; Squamata; Lacertidae. The record is from RefSeq and is a predicted model, not a curated record.